AAGUCGUAACAAGGUUUCCGUAGGUGAACCUGCGGAAGGAUCAUUAAUGAUUUGUUAUAAAAUAAAUAAAUUUAUUUUUAAACUAUUAUAAAAUCUUUUCAAAAAAAGGAUUAUUAAUUUAAUCCUGUGGAAUGUACUUCCCACGUUAAAUAUUCGUGCCAGGUGAAAUAUUUUAUAUAUUAAACCUGCUUUUUUUUUAUUAUUAUUAAAAUAUGAAAGUAUUUUAUUUAAAAAUUAAGAAAGCUUUUAAAAUAAAACUAUAUAAAAUUAAAUCAAAGUCAUAUAAUUGAUUCCGUUAAAUUAUAAAUUUAAAACAACUUUUAACAAUGGAUCUCUUGGCUCUU
RNAcentral lists this unclassified non-coding RNA (344 nucleotides) under fungal sp. RNAcentral's name for it is "partial internal transcribed spacer region". The stretch from base 1 to 46 matches the Rfam family "Eukaryotic small subunit ribosomal RNA", at positions 1786 to 1831 of the family's 1831-position model. The record is from RNAcentral. Lineage: Eukaryota; Fungi.